GACGAACGCUGGCGGCGUGCUUAACACAUGCAAGUCGAACGGAAAGGCCCUGCUUGCCGGGUACUCGAGUGGCGAACGGGUGGGUAACACGUGGGUGAUCUGCCCUGCACUUCGGGAUAAGCUUGGGAAACUGGGUCUAAUACCGGAUAGGAACCAUCUUUAGUGUGGUGGUUGGAAAGUUUUUUCGGUGUAGGAUGAGCUCGCGGCCUAUCAGCUUGUUGGUGGGGUAAUGGCCUACCAAGGCGGCGACGGGUAGCCGGCCUGAGAGGGUGUACGGCCACAUUGGGACUGAGAUACGGCCCAGACUCCUACGGGAGGCAGCAGUGGGGAAUAUUGCACAAUGGGCGCAAGCCUGAUGCAGCGACGCCGCGUGGGGGAUGAAGGCCUUCGGGUUGUAAACUCCUUUCGCUAGGGACGAAGCUUUGUUGUGACGGUACCUAGAUAAGAAGCACCGGCUAACUACGUG
RNAcentral lists this ribosomal RNA (466 nucleotides) under uncultured bacterium. RNAcentral's name for it is "partial 16S ribosomal RNA". It matches the Rfam family "Bacterial small subunit ribosomal RNA", at positions 28 to 507 of the family's 1533-position model. The record is from RNAcentral.